AGCGAACGCUGGCGGCAGGCUUAACACAUGCAAGUCGAACGCCCCGCAAGGGGAGUGGCAGACGGGUGAGUAACACGUGGGAACGUACCCUUUGGUUCGGAAUAACUGGGGGAAACUCAAGCUAAUAUCGGAUAAGUCCUUAUGGGGAAAGGUUUACUGCCGAAGGACCGGCCCGCGUCUGAUUAGCUAGUUGGUGAGGUAAUGGCUCACCAAGGCGACGAUCAGUAGCUGGUCUGAGAGGAUGAUCAGCCACACUGGGACUGAGACACGGCCCAGACUCCUACGGGAGGCAGCAGUGGGGAAUAUUGGACAAUGGGGGCAACCCUGAUCCAGCCAUGCCGCGUGAGUGAUGAAGGCCUUAGGGUUGUAAAGCUCUUUUACCCGGGACGAUAAUGACUGUACCGGGAGAAUAAGCCCCGGCUAACUUCGUGCCAGCCGCCGCCGUAA
RNAcentral lists this ribosomal RNA (447 nucleotides) under uncultured bacterium. Its description in RNAcentral is "partial 16S ribosomal RNA". It matches the Rfam family "Bacterial small subunit ribosomal RNA", at positions 29 to 523 of the family's 1533-position model. The record is from RNAcentral.